Molecule: ribosomal RNA, 393 nt
Filed under: uncultured bacterium
Lineage: Bacteria
Description: partial 16S ribosomal RNA
Rfam family: Bacterial small subunit ribosomal RNA
Source: RNAcentral
AUACGGAGGAUCCGAGCGUUAUCCGGAUUUAUUGGGUUUAAAGGGAGCGUAGGCGGACGCUUAAGUCAGUUGUGAAAGUUUGCGGCUCAACCGUAAAAUUGCAGUUGAUACUGGGUGUCUUGAGUACAGUAGAGGCAGGCGGAAUUCGUGGUGUAGCGGGGAAAUGCUUAGAUAUCACGAAGAACUCCGAUUGCGAAGGCAGCCUGCUGGACUGUAACUGACGCUGAUGCUCGAAAGUGUGGGUAUCAAACAGGAUUAGAUACCCUGGUAGUCCACACAGUAAACGAUGAAUACUCGCUGUUUGCGAUAUACAGUAAGCGGCCAAGCGAAAGCGUUAAGUAAUCCACAUGGGGAGUACGCCGGCAACGGUGAAACUCAAAGGAAUUGGCGGGG